Molecule: ribosomal RNA, 484 nt
Filed under: uncultured bacterium
Lineage: Bacteria
Description: partial 16S ribosomal RNA
Rfam family: Bacterial small subunit ribosomal RNA
Source: RNAcentral
AAUGAACGCUGGCGGCAGGCCUAACACAUGCAAGUCGAGCGGAUGAAGCGAGCUUGCUGCUGGACUCAGCGGCGAACGGGUGAGUAAUGCCUAGGUAUCCGCCCGGUAGCGCGGGAUAACGUCCGGUAACGGGCGCUAAUACCGCAUAAGUACUGUGGGCCAAAUUGGGGGAUCUUCGGAGCUUUCGCUAUUUGAUGAGCCUAGGCCGGCUUAGCUCGUUGGUGGGGUAAAGGCCUACACAGGCGGCGAUCCGUAACUGGUCUGAGAGGAGGAUCAGUCACACGGGAGGUGAGACAGAGACCAGACACCUGCGGUAAGCCACAGUGGAGAAUAUUAGGCAAGGGGCGAGAGCCUUAUACAGCCAUACCGCGUGUGUGAAGAAGGUCUACGGAUGGGAAAGCACUGUAAGUUGUGGGGAAGGACAGUAAGUUAAGAAGGUGCGAUAUUGACGGUACCAGCAGAAGAAGCACCGGCUAACUACGUG